UGGGGAAUAUUGGACAAUGGGGGCAACCCUGAUCCAGCGAUGCCGCGUGUGUGAAGAAGGCCUGCGGGUUGUAAAGCACUUUGGUUGGGGAGGAAGGCUAUUAGUCGAAUAGGCUAAUAGAUUGACGUUACCCAAAGAACAAGCACCGGCUAACUCUGUGCCAGCAGCCGCGGUAAUACAGAGGGUGCGAGCGUUAAUCGGAAUUACUGGGCGUAAAGGGCGCGUAGGUGGGUGAACGAGUCAGAUGUGAAAGCCCUGGGCUUAACCUAGGAAUAGCAUAUGAUACUGUUUGUCUAGAGUGGGGUAGAGGGUAGCGGAAUUCCCGGUGUAGCGGUGAAAUGCGUAGAUAUCGGGAAGAACACCAGUGGCGAAGGCGGCUACCUGGGCUCACACUGACACUGAGGCGCGAAAGCGUGGGGAGCGAACAGGAUUAGAUACCCGUGUAGUCC
RNAcentral lists this ribosomal RNA (449 nucleotides) under uncultured bacterium. Its description in RNAcentral is "bacterial SSU rRNA". It matches the Rfam family "Bacterial small subunit ribosomal RNA", at positions 355 to 796 of the family's 1533-position model. The record is from RNAcentral.